GAAGAAAAGGGUUGGUUUUUCAAACAUUUCACGUGGAGUCCGGUCAGAAAGAUGCAUAUGAGGAAGCUCGACUCAAACAUCCAUACGCAACUGUGAUUUCUGACUGGUAGACAGAUGAGGAUGAUGAUCGCCUGUCAUACAUCUAAAGACAGAACAGGGACAGUAUAGACACAUCUAUACCAUGAUGAAGAAAAAUUACUUGGAACAAAGAGGCUGGAUAAAAGGCAGCACGACUGACUGAAGUUUUAAAAUCAUGCAACGUCAUAAAGCAGCAGCUGGGCCUGAUUCUCACAAAACCAAAACAGACGUGAUGAAAUUCCAGAUGUAAACACAUUUGACCUUCCUUUGGCCAAUUGGAUUUGGAAAAGCUUGAAAAUCAACUAAAGGAGCAGCCUGAACAAAUGAAGAAACUGAUGGAGUGAGGACAAAUGUCCAUACCACACCACUGAUAAAGAAGUGGAAAAAUGCAUUACAAGGUAGCUACAACUUGCCCCUGACAGGGAUGGAGGAAGAAAGAAGAGAAAGCUAAUGUGUCAAAUGUCUACAUCACUAUUUUGUUUUAAUUUUUAAACAACAUUUUAAGUGUAUUAGGAUGUUCCCUGAUACUUGAACAAUUUGUUUCUUUCAUUUGCAUUUAUAUAUAUAUAUAUAUAUAUAUAUAUAUAUAUAUAUAUAUAUAUAUAUAUAUAUAUAUAUAUAUAUAUAUAUAUAUAUAUAUAUAUAUAUGUGUGUGUGUGUGUAUAUAUGUAUGGAAUGUAUGUAUGUAUGUGUGUGCGCCAAAUUGUAAAGAAACAUCUUGAUACAUUUUUAAUAAACGUAAUACAAAUAAAAUUAUAAAUAUAAAAUUGCACAAGACGUGUGUAUAUAUAUGAAAUGUAUAAUCAUCUCACUCAUGUCUUGCUGUUUGUGCAAUUGAUUUU
Molecule: long non-coding RNA, 920 nt
Filed under: Danio rerio (zebrafish)
Lineage: Eukaryota; Metazoa; Chordata; Actinopteri; Cypriniformes; Danionidae
Description: lncRNA si:ch211-66o10.6 (ENSDARG00000097663.2)
Source: RNAcentral